RNAcentral lists this ribosomal RNA (501 nucleotides) under uncultured bacterium. Its description in RNAcentral is "partial 16S ribosomal RNA". It matches the Rfam family "Bacterial small subunit ribosomal RNA", at positions 899 to 1397 of the family's 1533-position model. The record is from RNAcentral.
ACUCAAAUGAAUUGACGGGGGCCCGCACAAGCGGUGGAGCAUGUUGUUUAAUACGUCACUAACCGUAGAACCUUACCAGGUCUUGACAUCUGUGGAAUCCGGGGGAAACUUUGGAGUGCCCGUAAGGGAGCCACAAGACAGGUGUUGCAUGGCUGUCGUCAGCUCGUGUCGUGAGAUGUUGGGUUAAGUCCCGCAACGAGCGCAACCCUCAUCCAGUGUUGCUACCAGGUUAAGCUGGGCACUCUCUGGAAACUGCCCGUGCAAGCGGGAGGAAGGUGGGGAUGACGUCAAGUCAGCAUGGCCCUUACGACCUGGGCUACAAACAUGCUACAAUGGCGCGUACAGAGGGCAGCAAACUCGCGAGAGCAAGCCAAUCCCAAAAAGCGCGUCUCAGUUCGGAUUGGAGUCUGCAACUCGACUCCAUGAAGUCGGAAUCGCUAGUAACCGCAGGUCAGCUAUACUGCGGUGAAUACGUUCCCGGGCCUUGCACACACCGCCCGU